RNAcentral lists this ribosomal RNA (425 nucleotides) under uncultured bacterium. RNAcentral describes it as "partial 16S ribosomal RNA". It matches the Rfam family "Bacterial small subunit ribosomal RNA", at positions 354 to 796 of the family's 1533-position model. The record is from RNAcentral.
GUGAGGAAUUUUCCGCAAUGGGCGAAAGCCUGACGGAGCAAUGCCGCGUGAGUGAUGAAGGCCUUAGGGUUGUAAAGCUCUUUCAGCUGGGAAGAUAAUGACGGUACCAGCAGAAGAAGCCCCGGCUAACUCCGUGCCAGCAGCCGCGGUAAUACGGAGGGGGCUAGCGUUGUUCGGAAUUACUGGGCGUAAAGCGCACGUAGGCGGAUCAGAAAGUCAGAGGUGAAAUCCCAGGGCUCAACCUUGGAACUGCCUUUGAAACUCCUGAUCUUGAGGUCGAGAGAGGUGAGUGGAAUUCCGAGUGUAGAGGUGAAAUUCGUAGAUAUUCGGAGGAACACCAGUGGCGAAGGCGGCUCACUGGCUCGAUACUGACGCUGAGGUGCGAAAGCGUGGGGAGCAAACAGGAUUAGAUACCCUUGUAGUCC